AGCAGCCGCGGUAAUUCCAGCUCCAAUAGCGUAUAUUAAAGUUGUUGCAGUUAAAAAGCUCGUAGUUGAAUUUCGGGAUCAGUAUGUUGGUCGUGCUUCGGUACGUACUGUCAUUACUGGUUUCUACCUUCUGAAGAACCUUGAUGUCAUUAAUUUGGUGUCUUGGGGAAUCAGGACUGUUACUUUGAAAAAUUAGAGUGUUUAAAGCAAGCAUACGCUUGAAUACAUUAGCAUGGAAUAAUGAAAUAGGACGUUUGAUUCUAUUUUGUUGGUUUCUAGGAUCGACGUAAUGAUUAAUAGGGAUAGUUGGGGGCAUUAGUAUUCAAUUGUCAGAGGUGAAAUUCUUGGAUUUAUUGAAGACUAACUACUGCGAAAGCAUUUGCCAAGGAUGUUUUCAUUAAUCAAGAACGAAAGUUAGGGGAUCGAAGACGAUCAGAUACCGUCGUAGUCUUAACCAUAAACUAUGCCGACUAGGGAUCGGAUGAUGUUAUUUUUAAU
RNAcentral lists this ribosomal RNA (498 nucleotides) under uncultured Glomus. RNAcentral's name for it is "SSU rRNA". It matches the Rfam family "Eukaryotic small subunit ribosomal RNA", at positions 569 to 1073 of the family's 1831-position model. The record is from RNAcentral. Lineage: Eukaryota; Fungi; Glomeromycota; Glomeromycetes; Glomerales; Glomeraceae.